CCUACGGGGGGCUGCAGUGAGGAAUAUUGGUCAAUGGCCGGAAGGCUGAACCAGCCAUGCCGCGUGAAGGGCAGGGACCUAUGGGCGUUAAACUUCUUUUGUGCGGGAGCAAUAAUGGUCACGUGUGGCCAGACGAGAGUACCGUACGAAUAAGCAUCGGCUAACUCCGUGCCAGCAGCCGCGGUAAUACGGGGGAUGCAAGCGUUAUCCGGAUUUAUUGGGUUUAAAGGGUGCGUAGGCUGUGAGGUAAGUCAGCGGGGAAAUGCCCCCGCGCAACGGGGUGAAGUGCCAUUGAUAAUGCCUUGCUGGAAUGCGGAUGCGGUGGGAGGAAUGUGUGGUGUAGCGGUGAAAUGCAUAGAUAUCACACAGAACACCGAUUGCGAAGGCAUCUCACGAAUCCGCGAUUGACGCUGAUGCACGAAAGCGUGGGUAUCAAACAGGAUUAGAUACACCUGUAGUC
RNAcentral lists this ribosomal RNA (460 nucleotides) under uncultured bacterium. Its description in RNAcentral is "partial 16S ribosomal RNA". It matches the Rfam family "Bacterial small subunit ribosomal RNA", at positions 338 to 795 of the family's 1533-position model. The record is from RNAcentral.